GAUGAACGCUGGCGGCGUGCCUAAUACAUGCAAGUCGAGCGAACAGACGAGGAGCUUGCUCCUUUGACGUUAGCGGAGGACGGGUGAGUAACACGUAGGUAACCUACCUAUAAGACUGGGAUAACUUCGGGAAACCGGAGCUAAUACCGGAUAAUAUUUCGAACCGCAUGGUUCGAUAGUGAAAGAUGGCUUUGCUAUCACUUAUAGAUGGACCUGCGCCGUAUUAGCUAGUUGGUAAGGUAACGGCUUACCAAGGCAACGAUACGUAGCCGACCUGAGAGGGUGAUCGGCCACACUGGAACUGAGACACGGUCCAGACUCCUACGGGAGGCAGCAGUAGGGAAUCUUCCGCAAUGGGCGAAAGCCUGACGGAGCAACGCCGCGUGAGUGAUGAAGGUCUUCGGAUCGUAAAACUCUGUUAUUAGGGAAGAACAAACGUGUAAGUAACUGUGCACGUCUUGACGGUACCUAAUCAGAAAGCCACGGCUAACUACGUG
RNAcentral lists this ribosomal RNA (497 nucleotides) under uncultured bacterium. Its description in RNAcentral is "partial 16S ribosomal RNA". It matches the Rfam family "Bacterial small subunit ribosomal RNA", at positions 28 to 507 of the family's 1533-position model. The record is from RNAcentral.